RNAcentral lists this transfer RNA (77 nucleotides) under Sporomusaceae bacterium. Its description in RNAcentral is "tRNA-Arg". It matches the Rfam family "tRNA". Rfam says of the family: Transfer RNA (tRNA) molecules are approximately 80 nucleotides in length. Their secondary structure includes four short double-helical elements and three loops (D, anti-codon, and T loops). Further hydrogen bonds mediate the characteristic L-shaped molecular structure. tRNAs have two regions of fundamental functional importance: the anti-codon, which is responsible for specific mRNA codon recognition, and the 3' end, to which the tRNAs corresponding amino acid is attached (by aminoacyl-tRNA synthetases). tRNAs cope with the degeneracy of the genetic code in two manners: having more than one tRNA (with a specific anti-codon) for a particular amino acid; and 'wobble' base-pairing, i.e. permitting non-standard base-pairing at the 3rd anti-codon position. Lineage: Bacteria; Bacillati; Bacillota; Negativicutes; Selenomonadales; Sporomusaceae. The record is from RNAcentral.
GCUCCCGUAGCUCAGGUGGAUAGAGCAGUGGUUUCCUAAACCAUGUGUCGGUGGUUCGAGUCCUCCCGGGAGCGCCA